This 87-nucleotide transfer RNA is filed under the name marine eukaryotic metagenome. It matches the Rfam family "tRNA". Rfam says of the family: Transfer RNA (tRNA) molecules are approximately 80 nucleotides in length. Their secondary structure includes four short double-helical elements and three loops (D, anti-codon, and T loops). The record is from RNAcentral.
GAGAGAUGGCUGAGUGGUCGAAAGCGCCAGAUUGCUAAUUUGGUGAUCAGGUCAAACUGAUCCGCGGGUUCAAAUCCCGCUCUCUCC